RNAcentral lists this ribosomal RNA (495 nucleotides) under uncultured Oscillospiraceae bacterium. RNAcentral describes it as "bacterial SSU rRNA". It matches the Rfam family "Bacterial small subunit ribosomal RNA", at positions 15 to 507 of the family's 1533-position model. The record is from RNAcentral. Lineage: Bacteria; Bacillati; Bacillota; Clostridia; Eubacteriales; Oscillospiraceae.
UAUCCUGCUCGAGAUGAACGCUGGCGGCGUGCUUAACACAUGCAAGUCGAACGGAGUACCCCUGAAGGAGUUUUCGGACAACUGAUGGGACUACUUAGUGGCGGACGGGUGAGUAACGCGUGAGUAACCUGCCUUGGAGUGGGGAAUAACAGCUGGAAACAGCUGCUAAUACCGCAUAAUAUGUCUGUGUCGCAUGGCACUGGACAUCAAAGAUUUAUCGCUCUGAGAUGGACUCGCGUCUGAUUAGCUAGUUGGCGGGGUAACGGCCCACCAAGGCGACGAUCAGUAGCCGGACUGAGAGGUUGGCCGGCCACAUUGGGACUGAGACACGGCCCAGACUCCUACGGGAGGCAGCAGUGGGGAAUAUUGGGCAAUGAGCGCAAGCCUGACCCAGCAACGCCGCGUGAAGGAAGAAGGCUUUCGGGUUGUAAACUUCUUUUCUCAGGGACGAAGCAAGUGACGGUACCUGAGGAAUAAGCCACGGCUAACUACGUG